Molecule: long non-coding RNA, 2591 nt
Organism: Patella vulgata (common limpet)
Lineage: Eukaryota; Metazoa; Mollusca; Gastropoda; Patellidae
Exons: 6
Source: RefSeq, a predicted model, not a curated record
UUUAAAUUAUGUGCAUGAUUAUGACGCUUUGUCUUUUUUUUGUAGUACGCCGUAUAUAAAACCACACGCUUCUCUUGCUAUUUAUAAUGAUGCGGACCAAGCAUGGAUACAAGGGAAUGUGGAAUGAUAGGGGGAUGUUUAACCUGUUUUAAAUUUGUCAGGAUAUUGGAUAUUGUAAUACUUUAGAACAAUGUUUUCGUAUAGUGCUGUUUUAUUGAUGCUGCUCAUUCAGAUCCAUUCGGGAUUUUCGAUGCGGGAUAUUUGUCGUGACUACCCGUACCCGGAAUCAGAGGCCGAUUUUUUUGCUUGUAAGUUAUUUGGAUCGCAGUUGCCGGAACAGCGAGUGGAACUUGAUUGUCCAGGGAAGACAAUCUUAAUUGGUAAAUUGGAAAUUGGAUACAGGGACAGAUUGUGCAAGGACGUUAUAAAUUAUAUGGGAUGUUGCUACGGCGAGAAAAUACCCAAUAAUUCCAGCAUUGUUUGUUUAUCACAGUCAGAUGUAACUGGAACAACCAAUAGGUUAAUAAAACUCCGACGAAACAUCAUUAAAGAGUGUAAAAAUCGUCCAUCUUGUAAAGUCGUUUUAGAUCUAAAACCCAUAACAGAGAUUAGCUUCUCUGAUGUGUACAGUGUCUUCGUUGAAGUACAGUAUGACUGUAUUGGCGGUCCACCAAAACCGAAAGAUAACAGAGUGUAUAUAGCUGGAUGGAUUAUAGCUGGAAUUCUUAGUCUUCUACUUCUUGUAACGUUGAUUAUGUUGGUGAUUGUGUACAAGAAAAGAAAAGCUAGCGCCAAGAAAUGUCUUCCAGCCGUCAGUAUACGACCCCUGCCUUGUGUUCCCGUCAGUGGCACAUACUGUUCACUGGAAGAUCGAGGGCGCAGUUAUGUGGACAAUGAUUAUGAGAAAUUGAAACUGGAAAACAGUGACUAUCAUGAGUAUCUGGAACCGGUCACGGUACCUGACGUCAUCGGUCAACACAACGUGAAGAAAAACGAAAAGUGUUGAUUAUUAAAAGGACAAGCUUACAUAUAAAAAGCCAAGCUUACAUAAUAAAAGUUUUAUGGUUUGACUCUGUAAACGAUUUGGCUCUUUAGUUGCAAAAGACGGUCUUAGUAAAUUCUUGACAUUUGUAUACCACGGCUUAAUCAAUAUAUCUAAGUCAAAGAGAUAAUAAUAUCAAAUAAUUAAAGUAUCAUUGCGUCAUUUUAGAGCAAUAGGAAUCCCGUGCAAACUACACUAGUAAUAACAGUUCAAAAAUGGUUAAAUUCCGUUCAUUAUUUACAAAGAACUGUUGAAUUGAAACGCCAUGUAAUAAGCCCACCACAAUAUUGUUGUCCGCGAACAUAAUUGAUGGGUAUGUUUUAAAUCUGAUUAAAUUUAGCAUUGGUAUUUUGAUUUUGUGUUCUUAAUUAAAUGUUAAAUAAUCAAUCUGAGUACAUAUUAAUGUGGAUUAAGCUGUGAAAAAUGCAAAUGACGCAAUGGGACUUUAAAGAUAUAAGAAAUAGAAGACUACAUAUACUUAUAAUUGUGUUUGAUUGCUGCUGGAAAGAUCUAGUCUGUAUUAUCACAGGCCCAUGACUGUACAGCGCAGAGGACGCUUACUGUUGGUCCCCGGAUCCAUUCACUUCAAUUAAUAUUUGUUGUUUAUUUCAUGCAUGGUAUGUAUAGUUUGUCAUGUCCGCGGGUUUGUCAUAUCGGUUUUUUUUGUGUGUAUUGCCCUCCUCCUCUACUUACUAUAUUAUUAAAUAGAUAUGUGAGUGAUGCGAUUUCACAAACUUAUCAGCAGUGAAUAUUCGCAAGGCCUUUACAAUCAAUUAAUUAGUUCACAGUAUUAACAGUUUUCUUUCUGCAAAUUAAAUUCUAAAACAUGUUGGUUUUUUUUUUAAGUAUUGGAAAAAUAAAAAAAAGGUCGUUGAAGUAUAUUUCAAUAAAAUGUGUUUGCUAUUUAGUGUAAAUGUUUACAUAAAAUAUAACUCGAAGCGCAAAAUGAGUAAAAGGCACCAUUCUGCACGGACCAGUGACGUCACAAGUAGAAUGCAUUUUGAACUUAUAAAGGUCAGUCAUCUUACACAGAGGUUAGAAGAAGGCUUUGGCAUUAACGUUUCAGUCAAGUCACAUGCACAAUAAACAGAACCAAACCGGGGGUCAAACCGCGACACCGGUCUAUACGUUUUCCACAUAAUUAUUUUUUCUUCAUUUAUUCCACAGUAGAGUAUUUUAUACAUCCUAAUUAAAGAUGCAUUAUGUAAGAAUUCUUGCUAAAAUAGUACGUACAUAGAUAAUAAAAAAAUCAUUUAAAUUACUUUAUUUGAAGUUGAGUAAUGUGUAAUUAAAGUUUGAACAAGAUGAAUCGCAGAUUGUUUAUUAUCGUUUAUUACAAGUCUCAAUUAUCCCUUUGUCGUUGAAUUUUUAAAUCUCGCGGGUUUUCUAAUCCAUUUAAAUCUCGGCCAUCGAAUGGUCUAGAGUGUUGAAUAUAUUAUAUAACAUAGGUAGAUUUAGCUCUUAUAAAAUGCAUCUUUAAAGUACUUUCAUUUUCGUUUUGAUGUUAUUCAUAUUAAACAACCUUUUAUGGUAAAGGUCUAAAACAUUA